Molecule: long non-coding RNA, 739 nt
Organism: Aedes albopictus (Asian tiger mosquito)
Lineage: Eukaryota; Metazoa; Arthropoda; Insecta; Diptera; Culicidae
Exons: 2
Source: RefSeq, a predicted model, not a curated record
ACUGUGGUACCUUGUGGUAUGCACAUAAUAAAUUAUUGUAUUACUCUAUUACGUUUAGCGUGUAUGUUUACAUUGAGUAUCUGUCAUAUGUGGAGAUGUUGUUAUUGUUGUCUGGAGUGUGAAUCAUUGUAUGUAAUAUUGAAGUAUCGGUAAUAAAGUGUAUACAAAUAAUGAAUACAGUUGUUGAAUAAUCAUUACAGAGAAAGAUUCUCACAUUGGCGACGAGAACGGUGAACAGUGCAUGUGAAAUUAGUUUAAUUUCGGUUCGGGAAGUGUUAACUUUGAAAAAAAAAGAGAUGAGUGGUGUGUGUGGUGCAUGCAGAGUGGUGAUGACCUCCAGGUGAUGACUUGUGAUUGAAUUUCAACAUUGGAAUCAAAAAGGUACAACCAUAAGUAACGGCCAAGUAAUUUACCAAAAUGCCGAGCAGAGAUGGAUGACCAAAUGGAUGACUGUACUACUAAUUCUGAUCUGAUGUGAGACUGAAGCGAGACGUUCAUCAACUGAGGAGACUAUAAGCGAAAACAACGUGAAGUGACCUUGCUGCGGAUCUGGAGAAAAAACGAGAUGUGGUACCUUGUGGUAUGCACAUAAUAAAUUAUUGUAUUACUCUAUUACGUUUAGCGUGUAUGUUUACAUUGAGUAUCUGUCAUAUGUGGAGAUGUUGUUAUUGUUGUCUGGAGUGUGAAUCAUUGUAUGUAAUAUUGAAGUAUCGGUAAUAAAGUGUAUACAAAUAAUGAA